UUUCCGUAGGUGAACCUGCGGAAGGAUCAUUAAAAAAUUGGACUCCAUUGGUGAGUUCAUUAAUAAUCCUACCCUUUGUGAAUUUGUUUGUUUGAAUAAUUUUUUUUCCAAAAAAAAUUAUUGAAUGUCUUUCCCUGUUUUGGUGGAGCUUGUAAAGUGAAACCAGGCAGGGGAAUGGCAAACAAUAAUUAUUUUUGAAAAAGACCUUUUUUAAAAUUAAACUUUUUGUAUUCAUUUGUCUAAAAUUAUUUUUAUAAUAUAAAAACAACUUUGACAAUGGAUCUCUUGGUUCUCGCAACGAUGAAGAACGCAGCAAAAUGCGAUAAGUAGUGUGAAUUGCAGAAUACGUGAAUCAUCGAAUCUUCGAACGCAUAUUGCACUUUUUUAGUUUACUAAAAAGUAUGUCUGUUUGAGUAUCAGUAAAAUAUUCUCAUAAAAAAUUUAUUUUUUAUGGUUAUGAGUGUUUUACAACGAUAACAAGUUGUUUCACUUUAAAUUCUUUGUUAUCAAAAAAAUCAUUAAAAGCUAAUUUUAAAGAUUUUUAAAAUUGGAUAAAAUUUCCCGUAAAAAGGAAUAACCUAGACAAUUUUAAAAAAUUAAAAUUGGUUUGAUUUUUCUUGAUUUAAAAAGGAAAAAAAGUAAAAAUUAACUUGAUCUCAAAUCAGAUAAGAGUACCCGCUGAACUUAAGCAUAUCAAUAAGCGGAGGAAAAGAAACUAACUAGGAUUCCCUCAGUAACGGCGAGUGAAGCGGGAAGAGCUCAAAUUUGAAAUCUUCAAGGUUUACCUUGACGAAUUGUAGUUUAAAGAAGUGUUUUCUGUUGGAGUUUUGGUAAAAGUUCUUUGAAAGGACAUCAUAGAGGGUGAGAAUCCCGUAUUUGACCAUUAUCUCCAGCUUUGUGAUACACUUUCAAAGAGUCGGAUUGUUUGGGAAUGCAGUCCAAAAUGGGUGGUAAAUUUCAUCUAAAGCUAAAUACUGGCGAGAGACCGAUAGCGAACAAGUACCGUGAGGAAAGAUGAAAAGAACUUUGAAAAGAGAGUUAAACAGUACGUGAAAUUGUCAAAAGGGAAGCGUUUGACACCAGUGUUGUUUUCUCGAAAAUCAAUUAAAAAAGGCCGGAUUUUGUGUUGUAUUGACUUUAUCAGCUUUCUGCACUUUUUUCUUGUCUUUUUUAAUGCACUUUUCGUUUAACAAGUCAACAUCAAUUUCUUUUGUUGUAAAAGGGUCAUUGGAAGGUGGCUUUCUUUUCGGAGAAAGUGUUUAUAGCCUUUGGCCUCUGCAAUCGGAGAGAUUGAGGUCUGCAGCGUAGAUCCUUCGGGGUUAGAUACAUUUGUGCUAAGUUAUAGCCUUUCAUAGACAACUUGUUGACUAUGAUCAGUCAUGUAGCUUACUCGCUUAUGCUAUUUUACCUACGCUUAGGAUGUUG
This 1425-nucleotide unclassified non-coding RNA is filed under the name uncultured Neocallimastigales. RNAcentral's name for it is "partial contains small subunit ribosomal RNA, internal transcribed spacer 1, 5.8S ribosomal RNA, internal transcribed spacer 2, and large subunit ribosomal RNA". The stretch from base 652 to 1425 matches the Rfam family "Eukaryotic large subunit ribosomal RNA", at positions 1 to 628 of the family's 3401-position model. The record is from RNAcentral. Lineage: Eukaryota; Fungi; Neocallimastigomycota; Neocallimastigomycetes; Neocallimastigales.